GGGGGUAUAGCUCAGUGGCAGAGCAUUUGACUGCAGAUCAACUGGUCCCUUGUUCAAAUCCAGGUGCCCCCU
This 72-nucleotide transfer RNA is filed under the name Sus scrofa (pig). RNAcentral describes it as "tRNA-Cys (GCA) (tRNA-Cys-GCA-15-1)". It matches the Rfam family "tRNA". Rfam says of the family: Transfer RNA (tRNA) molecules are approximately 80 nucleotides in length. Their secondary structure includes four short double-helical elements and three loops (D, anti-codon, and T loops). Lineage: Eukaryota; Metazoa; Chordata; Mammalia; Artiodactyla; Suidae. The record is from Rfam by way of RNAcentral.